CCCUACUGCUAUCGGGGUGGGACUAAGACACGCGAGUUGUGCGUCUCUAAGCUAUGGUAGAGACGCAGCGUACGGCUCAGUAACACGUGGCUAACCUACCCUUAGGACGGGGACAACCCCGGGAAACUGGGGCUAAUACCCGAUAGGUGAGGAGGCCUGGAAUGGUUCCUAGUCGAAAAGGCGUUGAAACCAUGCUUUUCGACGUCGCCUAAGGAUGGGGCCGCGCCCGAUCAGGUUGUUGGUGGGGUAACGGCUCACCAAGCCUAUAACCGGUACGGGCCGUGAGAGCGGGAGCCCGGAGAUGGGCACUGAGACAAGGGCCCAGGCCCUACGGGGCGCAGCAGUCGCGAAAACUCCGCAAUGCGCGAAAGCGCGACGGGGCUACCCCGAGUGCCGUCCGCUGAGGAUGGCUUUUCCCCGGUGUAAUGAGCCGGGGGAAUAAGGAGAGGGCAAGUCUGGUGUCAGCCGCCGCGGUAAUACCAGCUCUCCGAGUGGUGGGGAUGAUUAUUGGGCUUAAAGCGUCCGUAGCCGGCUUAGCAAGUCUCCUGUUAAAUUCAGCGACCUAAUCGUUGAGCCGCGGGAGAUACUACUAGGCUAGGAGGCGGGAGAGGCCGACGGUAUUCUCGGGGUAGGGGUGAAAUCCUAUAAUCCCGGGAGGACCACCAGUGGCGAAGGCUGUCGGCUAGAACGCGCUCGACGGUGAGGGACGAAAGCUGGGGGAGCGAACCGGAUUAGAUACCCGGGUAGUCCCAGCUGUAAACGAUGCGGGCUAGGUGUUGAGGUGGCUACGAGCCACUUCAGUGCCGCAGGGAAGCCAUUAAGCCCGCCGCCUGGGGAGUACGGCCGCAAGGCUGAAACUUAAAGGAAUUGGCGGGGGAGCACCACAAGGCGUGAAGCUUGCGGUUC
Molecule: ribosomal RNA, 906 nt
Filed under: uncultured archaeon
Lineage: Archaea
Description: bacterial SSU rRNA
Rfam family: Archaeal small subunit ribosomal RNA
Source: RNAcentral